Molecule: ribosomal RNA, 1141 nt
Filed under: Triticum aestivum (bread wheat)
Lineage: Eukaryota; Viridiplantae; Streptophyta; Magnoliopsida; Poales; Poaceae
Description: partial small subunit ribosomal RNA
Source: RNAcentral
GUGGAGAAGCCCAACCCACCAACCCCUCAAAAAAAAAAAAAUCCUAACUCUGCAACUGCAACUCACCUUGCUCGUCCCCGUUGCCGGCGGCAGCGUCGCCGCCGCGACCGUAUCCCUUCGCCGGCGGGGCGCGAGGCCCUGAUCUUUCCCUCCGCGCCGAAGACGUGCGGCCUGGCCGUGCCACCGCGUUCUCGGGAGUUUGGAUCUUGGUUGUCCUCGUAGCCGCCCCCGCAUCCCUAUUGCUCGUGCAGUCGUGCUCCUCCGAAUUCGCCGGCUGCCGGUGUCCCGGCUCGGCCACAGCCCGCAGGACCAUGGUACAAGAACAGAAAGGAGAAACAUCCAGUGGCAUGUAUACUUACAAGCAUCAUGGUGACAAGGGAGUUGAUAUCCAUGAGAUUUUCGUUAAGAAGAGCAGAACCCGUGUUCUGCUGUCAUACUGUGGCCUCAUUUUACUUCUAGCAAUUGUCUGCCGAUCAUUGCUGGGAAAGGAAAAGUUGUGUCUUCAGUCAGUGUGGAGUGUUACCUUUGGAAUUCUGGUUGCGAAAUGUUUGCAAUACAAACCAGUGAAGAAAGAGUCGGUAGUGAUAAUGCCAUCUUUUGGGGUUCAGCUAGAAAUACAUUUUUGGAGCGGAAGAGUUGACCGUCAUUUUGUGCCAAUUGGCAAGAUUCUAAAGCCACUGCUGAACGAGUGUGUGACACCUGUGACCUGUUACUGGAGCUUGGCGUCGCUUCUGCGUGAUGAGGAGGAGCUCAAGCUAGUUUUCCAGAAAUUCCGCCCACCUGUCAAAAUGUUGGUCCCUAUCUGGAGAGCUCUCUGCGCAUUCACAGAUUCUGAAUGCACAAGCCGGCAUUCUGCAGUUUCUAAACCGAACCGUUCAGAAGCGUGACUCUGUUGGCGAUCUGGUGUGAUUGCGACGGUCGGCAAAGGGGAUGCAGUUGAGCUUAGAUGCCAAACUGAGCUAGAGGCCACCAUGGGAUCUACGCCAUCAACCUUUUGGUUUUCAAAUCUUGACCAGUGGUAUAGUUAGAAGUAUUUGGUUGUCUAUAUGAAAACGAUUGCUGGAUUCUUUUUUAUUAUAAGCCAUGGUUUUGUUUGCUGAGAUUUUUUCGUAAUAAUAUGUUUCUUUUUCUGAUUAGUUUU